RNAcentral lists this ribosomal RNA (201 nucleotides) under uncultured bacterium. RNAcentral's name for it is "partial 16S ribosomal RNA". It matches the Rfam family "Bacterial small subunit ribosomal RNA", at positions 136 to 334 of the family's 1533-position model. The record is from RNAcentral.
CUCCUUGGCCAGCCUUCUGAAAGGAAGAUUAAUCCAGGAUGGCAUCAUGAGUUCACAUGUCCGCAUGAUUAAAGGUAUUUUCCGGUAGACGAUGGGGAUGCGUUCCAUUAGAUAGUAGGCGGGGUAACGGCCCACCUAGUCAACGAUGGAUAGGGGUUCUGAGAGGAAGGUCCCCCACAUUGGAACUGAGACACGGUCCAA